Amphiprion ocellaris (clown anemonefish) is the source of this 3784-nucleotide long non-coding RNA. The record is from Ensembl. NCBI's taxonomy places the organism in Eukaryota, Metazoa, Chordata, Actinopteri, Pomacentridae.
UUUUGGUUUGCCUUCCUUUGAUGUUUCACCUGUACUACAACCUUAGUGUGAGUCAGCCUUAACACAAAAGAUCAGAUCAAGUCAUGGAAAAUGAAAACGUGAACUAAUAUUAAGCAAAAAUGGGUGUUUUGAUUUAUUUUUAAUGGCAUUUUUUGUACAUCUUUUCUUUUUGUCAGUCCUAAGGAGUGACAAAGCCACACGGAGGCUUGGAACAAGAAGACCCCAAACGACAUGCUAAAACAAAAGAAAAAUGCAUCUUCAAGAAACCAACAAAAAGAUAAAAACAAGAAAUAUGAACAUUUAACUGCUUAUCUUUCCAUUUCUACUGCAAGAGAGCUAAGUUUAAAUUUGAUUUCUGUGGUUGGGUGGGGUGGUUGGGUCUGUCGUACUGUUUCGGUUUCCUCCAUGUUGAAUUCCUCCCUCCUGUCGCCUAGUGUUUGGUUUCUUGUUUUUCGUCCCAUCUACAGUAACUCACUGCCCCUCUCGUCUCCUCAUUGAACCCUUCGUUCAUGUCGCUGAUUUGUCUGAGCUCUUCUGUGUCUCCUCUCUCAGUAGCCUCCUCUCAUAUAUACACAUACUACUGUAUUAACCAACACCAUAACUUUCUUGUCUUGAUCCAUGUAAAUCUCAACCUGGAAAAAUUGAGGGCUAAAAGCACGGGGAUGCUAAUCGGGUUUGUGUAUGUACAUACGAAAAUAUAAAAGCUUUUUUUUUCUUUUUAUUAUGUGCUUGUCGCAGUUUUCGUUUGUACACCAUUAUUUCAGUGUUUUGGGUUUGAUUCAGAGUCGUAUUUGUAUGUUUUUGAGGUUUAUAUUUGCUAGUCAUUUUUCAACACUUUCUUUUGAGACAAACUUUCAGUGUUUUUACUGGCAUGUCGGCAGGAUUUCUUUAUUGUCGCUCUUUCUUUUUUUUUUUUUUUUUUUUUUUUUUAAAAGUGUAUGAUGUUCAUAUGAAUGCAUGCAUUCCUGAAAUUUACCAAAGUGGCAGAGUGAUUCAAGGAACCUGGCUGGCGAGCAACAUAGGAAUACUAGUUUUUGAACACAUUUCUUGACCUACACCUUGGACCAAGAGCAGAGGAACUGUACUCUCCAUCUAUUUGUGAAAGAUCUGAUGUAUCCAGGAGGUGCUGCGUGAUUUGAACAAAUUGGAUAAAAGCAAAAACUACUAAAUAAUUUCUAUAAGUGUGUGCUUAAUAAGAUAUUGCAGCUGUGAUGUCAAAGCCCCGUUUUCUAGAACCUUCAUGGUGCUCUGUGCCACAUCAAAUCAGUUUGUUUUAUCUUUUUCUUACCACAGUGCUGCUCAGCUGCACCCACGUUAUCAUCACCACACUGUGUGAAUCGCAUUUGAAAUUGAACAGCCAACCUCAGUUAGUGUAAAUUAAAAUGUUUAUUUGUCAGAAUGCAGAAACAGAUGUAGAAAUAUGACUCUGGUGUAACAUUACUGUAUCAUCUACAUUUGGCCUCUAACAUCGUUCUGUAUUGCAUUACGUUCCUGUAACAAAUACAAAGCAGUAGACUGAUGAAGCCCUCUGUGUAAAGUUCACUUUAAACCAUUUUUUAGCGACACUCAUUCUAGAAAAUGGGGGUUUGUUUGACAACCUUUCACGUCCCACAAAGCUGUUUGUUGUUCUGUCUGCUGCUGUUUGACUCAGGACAGCUCUUGCAUGGAGUCAAGCAUGUACGCAGCCAGAGGCGUCAGCUGGCAGCAAACAGAUUAAUGCAAAUUCCAACAGGUAUUUUUAGAAUUAUGAUCAUUUUGGCUUAAAGCGAGGAGAAAACAAAGUACGUCCCAGUAAGCCAGCCCUGGUGUGAUCUCAUCAAAAUGGAAUGCACUUCCAUUAUUAACCCUUGCGAUUUUCCUGCUGUGACAUGCCAGGAUGUCUUCUGUGAGAAAGAUCUGAUGAUGUGAAUGGAGUGCUGCUUGUAAAUCGCCUGGAUUUCUUGUUCUUUAACUUUUAAACGGGCAGCACUGUAGAAAACUGGAUAUAAUACUGAUAAAUCAACAACAAAAUCACAGGAAUGUACAGUUUUACCUGCUCAGUGCACAGCUGUCAUCAGUCUGGUUGUACAGUGCACAUCAUGGUUUCCCUUUCUGCCUGUUUUCUAUCUGUGCUGCCGCUUUCCUUUUCACUUGUAUGUGUUUUCCCGUCUUCCUGUUAACAAACUGGGUGUUUAUUUUCAGAGAUGGCGUGUGCAUGUCUCUUAUUUCUGUCUGUUCAUUAUUCCUGUGUCUUUUUUCUGGAUCUGACUGUACUAACUGCUGCUUGGUGGAGCUCCAGUUCGGUCUGCACUAAUUCUUUUUUUUGCCUGUUGUACUGGGAACACUCCCAAGAAAUGGACCAACACAAGCGCCGGAUCGAUGUCGAUAGACCCAGAUCCGGAGCGCUCACUGGCCUCGCAGAUUCGUUGUACGUCUCGGCCUCGAGUUGUUCUCUCAGAAGCCAUAGCCAGCAGUCUGGAAUCGAUGUGAGGCUUUUUGGCUCAUGCGGCGAUCUUCAUCUCUUUCAUUCAACCUCCCGACUCUCACCACGCUUUACUCAAAAGGGCUGCCUCCUCCUCCUCCUCCUCUUCCUCCUCGUCUUUCCUCCCCCAUCCUCCCACCUCUUUCUGCUUGUCCACAGCAGGACUAGUGAACACCUUCCGCUGACUUGUGCUGCCGCUUUCCCUCCUCAGCAAACCCCACCUGUCUCACCUGGAUCAUGAACAGUCACACAAGCAGGAAACUUGCUCCAAUCACAUGACUCAAUCAGCACGUCUGCACUUUGUCUUUCCAGCCACGCCCCCCCCCACUCUCCCUCCCAUGUUCCAGGUUGUUAUUGGUUGUUUUGGUUGGUCUUUCCUAUCCCCACCUUAUAUCCUGCUUGUUGAGCUUUAAGUUUUCACGUGCUGCGUGUGUUAAGACUCACGGAUGGUCUGCGGUAAUUUAUGUCUGUGUACAAGUGUUUGUGUAUCUGCUCAUCAGUAACAUAAAGCCAAGACUCUUCUCGUCAUGUCUGUGUGUUUGUUCUGGAACUGUUUCCUCACGGCUUGGGCCCUCUCCUCUGCAGUUGCCUGUGCUUUUACGUCUCGGAGAUGUUUUUUUUUGUCUUUUAGACCAACACAAAAGCAGUCACACAGAUAUUUUCACAUGGUCACUAAUUAAACCAGGCCCUGCUAGCUUCUUUUUUUCCCCUCCAAACCUGCCACCAGACCAAACAUUUUACUGGGUAACCAUGGGAAUGAACCAAGAGGACCACGUUUUCCAAUCCUCCCGACACACACACUUCCUCUCUGACUUUCUGAGAAGUGUUUGUGAAAAGUUGCACUUAAGUACACCAUCUGCAUUCACACAGUAUCGAGCAGUCUAAAGGCCUGUCCGUCAUUAAGGCCUGUUUCCAGAUAUUGUUGUUUUUAAAUGGCUGUUCUUAUUAUUGCUAUCGUUGAUAUAUUGGUGAGAUGUUGUAUUUUUUUUUUUUUUUUUUUUUACAUAAAAGGGAGUUAAAGUUGUAUCAUUUUUUAAAAUUAGUAUGUUUUUAUUUGUAAUUUUUUCUUCCUUAUUUCUCUUAUGGGCGUGAUUAUUAUUGGCAGUGUUUUCAAUCUUUCUAAAACCUCCAUUUUUUUUCUUUUAUUUCCCCUACAGGAUCUUAUGAGGAAUUAUUUUAAGAAAAAGAUAUAAGUAGAUUGUCAAAGAGAUAUGAGUUAUUGAGGGUUAUAGUCUGUAUAUUCUAUGGGUAUUAUGAAUUAAACGAUUAACAAAAACAGAAUUAUAUACAUAUAAUUAAAUAAAGUUUCCUGAUACUGUUAAA